GGUGGUUCUCGGGUGACACACCCUGGAAUCGGGCUCCCUCUUCUCUAGCCGGGUGCAUCACCCGAGAACCACA
This is a non-coding RNA of Myotis brandtii (Brandt's bat), 73 nucleotides long. The record is from Rfam. NCBI's taxonomy places the organism in Eukaryota, Metazoa, Chordata, Mammalia, Chiroptera, Vespertilionidae.